RNAcentral lists this ribosomal RNA (657 nucleotides) under Gottfriedia acidiceleris. Its description in RNAcentral is "bacterial SSU rRNA". It matches the Rfam family "Bacterial small subunit ribosomal RNA", at positions 73 to 715 of the family's 1533-position model. The record is from RNAcentral. Lineage: Bacteria; Bacillati; Bacillota; Bacilli; Caryophanales; Bacillaceae.
UGGGAGCUUGCUCCCGUUAGUUAGCGGCGGACGGGUGAGUAACACGUGGGCAACCUACCUGUAAGACUGGGAUAACUUCGGGAAACCGGAGCUAAUACCGGAUGACAUAAAGGAACUCCUGUUCCUUUAUUGAAAGAUGGCCUCGGCUAUCACUUACAGAUGGGCCCGCGGCGCAUUAGCUAGUUGGUGAGGUAACCGCUCACCAAGGCGACGAUGCCUACCGAACUGAGAGGGUGAUCGGCCACACUGGGACUGAGACACGGCCCAGACUCCUACGGGAGGCAGCAGUAGGGAAUCUUCCGCAAUGGACGAAAGUCUGACGGAACAACGCCGCGUGAGCGAUGAAGGCCUUCGGGUCGUAAAGCUCUGUUGUUAGGGAAGAACAAGUGCUAGUUGAAUAAGCUGGCACCUUGACGGUACCUAACCAGAAAGCCACGGCUAACUACCUGCCAGCAGCCGCGGUAAUACGUAGGUGGCAAGCGUUGUCCGGAAUUAUUGGGCGUAAAGCGCGCGCAGGCGGUUUCUUAAGUCUGAUGUUAAAGCCCCCGGCUCAACCGGGGAGGGUCAUUGGAAACUGGGAAACUUGAGUGCAGAAGAGGAAAGUGGAAUUCCCAGUGUAGCGGUUAAAUGCCUAAAGAUUUGGAGGAACACCGGUGG